Molecule: ribosomal RNA, 197 nt
Filed under: uncultured bacterium
Lineage: Bacteria
Description: partial 16S ribosomal RNA
Rfam family: Bacterial small subunit ribosomal RNA
Source: RNAcentral
ACGCUCGACACCUACGGGAGCAGCAGUGGGGAAUAUUGCACAAUGGGGGAAACCCUGAUGCAGCGACGCCGCGUGAAGGAAGAAGUAUUUCGGUAUGUAAACUUCUAUCAGCAGGGAAGAAGAUGACGGUACCUGACUAAGAAGCCCCGGCUAACUACGUGCCAGCAGCAGCGGUAAUCUGAGCGGGCUGGCAAGGC